AUAUAUAUAUAUAUAAAGAAAUACAAAGAAUGUGAGUAUGAGGAGAGAGAAAUGUUGAAUCUAAAAGCACAAAUCCCAAUUGCUUUCAACGACAUUGGAGAAGAAGAAGAUUAGUGGCAUAUUUGUAAAUAAUAGAGUUGGUAUGGGGUAUAUUUGAUUUUGUCUGUAAUAGGGUCAAAGGUUAGUGACUAAAAAUCCAAUUAU
This 204-nucleotide small RNA is filed under the name Arabidopsis thaliana (thale cress). RNAcentral's name for it is "ATSL222510". Lineage: Eukaryota; Viridiplantae; Streptophyta; Magnoliopsida; Brassicales; Brassicaceae. The record is from RNAcentral.